CACCUUUGUUCAGAAUGUGAUAAAGUUCAUUACUAGUGUAUUAAAUAUCCAUCUUAAUAAACUAAUAAAACUUGAUUUAAAAAAAAUGAACCUACCAUGUCUGAGAGAUUAAUGAGGAUGACAUCAUCCAGAAUUGGCUGAAACUUGUGAUGCAGGAGACCAAUUAUGCCGGCAUGAUGGUCAGCAUGUGUAUGAGAUACAAAAAUACACUUAAGUGAAGAAAGGACUUUCUCUCUUUGUGAUGUGCCAUUUAAACAUGAAAGUUGAUGCAUCAUUCCAUCACCACAAUCUAGCAUAAUUGAACAGUCAGAACUGAAAAAGGUGUUUUUAGAAAUUGAUGUAGUAGAAUAUAUUUUUACCAAAGGGAAAGAA
Long non-coding RNA from Frankliniella occidentalis (western flower thrips), 372 nucleotides. RefSeq lists it as uncharacterized. NCBI's taxonomy places the organism in Eukaryota, Metazoa, Arthropoda, Insecta, Thysanoptera, Thripidae. The record is from RefSeq and is a predicted model, not a curated record. The transcript is spliced from 2 exons.